CCACGGGAGGCAGCAGUGGGGAAUAUUGCACAAUGGGGGGAACCCUGAUGCAGCAAUGCCGCGUGAAGGAUGAAGGUUUUCGGAUUGUAAACUUCUUUUGUACGGGACGAAGAAAGUGACGGUACCGUAAGAAUAAGCCACGGCUAACUACGUGCCAGCAGCCGCGGUAAUACGUAGGUGGCAAGCGUUAUCCGGAUUUACUGGGUGUAAAGGGCGAGUAGGCGGGAACGCAAGUCAGAUGUGAAAACUCAGGGCUCAACCCUGAGCCUGCAUUUGAAACUGUGUUUCUUGAGUGCUGGAGAGGC
This 305-nucleotide ribosomal RNA is filed under the name uncultured bacterium. Its description in RNAcentral is "bacterial SSU rRNA". It matches the Rfam family "Bacterial small subunit ribosomal RNA", at positions 339 to 658 of the family's 1533-position model. The record is from RNAcentral.